AUUGAACGCUGGCGGCAGGCCUAACACAUACAAGUCGAGCGGAUGACGUGAGCUUGCUCCUUGAUUCAGCGGCGGACGGGUGAGUAAUGCCUAGGAAUCUGCCUGGUAGUGGGGGGCAACGUUUCGAAAGGAACGCUAAUACCGCCUCCGUCCUACGGGAGAAUGCAGGGGACGUUCGGGCCUUGCGCUAUCAGAUGAGCCUAGGGCGGAUUAGCUAGUUGGUGGGGUAAUGGCUCACCAAGGCGACGAUCCGUAACUGGUCUGAGAGGAUGAUCAGUCACACUGGAACUGAGACACGGUCCAGACUCCUACGGGAGGCAGCAGUGGGGAAUAUUGGACAAUGGGCGAAAGCCUGAUCCAGCCAUGCCGCGUGUGUGAAGAAGGUCUUCGGAUUGUAAAGCACUUUAAGUUGGGAGGAAGGGCAGUAAGCUAAUACCUUGCUGUUUUGACGUUACCGACAGAAUAAGCACCGGCUAACUCUGUGCCAGCAGCCGCGGUAA
RNAcentral lists this ribosomal RNA (500 nucleotides) under uncultured bacterium. RNAcentral describes it as "partial 16S ribosomal RNA". It matches the Rfam family "Bacterial small subunit ribosomal RNA", at positions 30 to 523 of the family's 1533-position model. The record is from RNAcentral.